RNAcentral lists this long non-coding RNA (1558 nucleotides) under Homo sapiens (human). RNAcentral's name for it is "UQCRFS1 divergent transcript (UQCRFS1-DT)". The record is from RNAcentral. Lineage: Eukaryota; Metazoa; Chordata; Mammalia; Primates; Hominidae.
GGGCUACAAGCCGUCGCUGGGGGCGGGGCUUGCGGCCCACCUGUAGGUCCCGGUGCCACCUCGUCAGUGUCCCGAGAGAUCCCCAGAAGAACGAGAGGGCUGAACAGGGGACCCCACUGACGUCCGGUCUCUAUGAAGUCAGAGCUAUUACUAUCAGCAUUUUACCCAUGAAGAAACCGAGGUUUAGAGAGAUUCUUUUCCAGGAACUGGAUAGCCAGCAAGAUGUGAAGCAGGAUGAAGAAACUAAGACUCAGAGAAGACAAAUGACAUGCCCAAAGACACAUUGAUAAGAACGCAUCUGGUAGUGGUGUUCGAGUCCAGCGUUGCAGCAGAGAGAUGGGUAACUGUAUGGCCGAACAGCUGUCUUCUCGUGGAAGAAGGAGGCCAAUGUCCAGGAGUGGCAGGCAUACUGGAACUUGGACUUCUGUAGGCCAACCUGGGUUCCACUUGGUAGAUGGGGGUCUUGCUGUGUUGCCCAGGCUGGUCUCAAACUCCUGGCCUGAAGCAGUCCUCCUCCCUUAGCCUCCAGAGUAGCUGGGACUACAGGUACACACCACUGCAACCCCUCAGUGGUUGUUAUUUAACUGAAGGGGGUUUUAGCUUUCAUGUAUCAGCUCACUCUGGAGCCAGACAGCCUGGCCUUCAUGGCAGCUCUGCCCCUUACUACCUGUGUGACAUCGGGCAACGUUACUGAGUGUCAGAUUUCUUAUUUGUAAAACAGGGAUAAAAAUGACAUUGCUGUGCAAAUUAAAAGAAAGAAUCCAUGUGAGAUAUUUAGCACACUGGCAUACAAUGAGAGCUUAAUAAACAUUGUUAGUUUUGUAAACUGAGGGAAAAAAAUAGCCACAGGCCUGGGAACAUAAAUGCUUGGUAAGCUUCUCAGUUCCCUGGAAGUCUGACACGCAAUGUGUAUGUAUGAACAAGGCAGGAGGAAGCAUGACACCAAGCCUUCCUUUUAACAAACACUGUUUAAAUCAGAGGUCGGAAGUCAUGGACUGGAGAUUCAUUCUCUCCCCACUCAUUUCUGCCCAGAGACACCUGGUGAUCUGGCAUACACAGUGCUAUGAACCUCAGAAUUAUUUGCUAGCAUUUACAAAUUGUGAGUACUCCCACAUACAAACUGUGGUAGAUGGAAUAAUGCCUCCCCACAAAAAUGUCCACAGCCUAAUCCCUGGAACCUGGGAAUAUGUUACUUUACACAGCAAAGGAAUGUUGCAGCUGUGAUUGGAGAUUGAGAUAGGGAGAGUGUAUUAGUCUGUUGUCAUGCGGCUAUGAAGAAAUACCUGAGACUGGGUAAUUUACAAAGAAAAGAGGUUUAAUUCACUUACAGCUCAGCACGGCUGGUUGGGGGGGCGCCCUCAGGAAAUUUACAAUCAUGGUAGGAGGCACCUCUUCACAGGGUGGCAGGAGAGAAAAUAAGAGCAGAGCGAAGGGGGAACCCCUUAUAAAACUGUCAGAUCUCAUGAGAACUCACUGUCAUGAGAACAGCAUGGGGGAAACCGCCCCCAUGAUCCAUCACCUCCACCUGGUCCCCCCCUUGUUACAAUUCAAGGGGAUU